UUCUUCCAUUAAUGAUACGAAUCCCUUUUUAAAGGCUUACAAAACAAAUAAACAAUCAAAUAACUAACCUAAACAUGGCCACUAACCCACUACUUUAAUUUAACUAACAAUUAGGAAACAUGGAAGAAAUGCAAAUAUGCAAUAGCAAAUAUGAGAACGUGCAGAUGUAUGUACGUCAACUUCAACCACAUGAACAUUUGACAAAAACAUGGAUGUAGUAGGUGAAAGAGGUGGCUGUGUGGUAACUUGUUUCCUCAGGUGGGGUUUAGCAAGUGUAAACGGAUCAUGUGAUGGUGUUGCAAGGGUUGGCUGUGGUAGUACAACAGGUU
This 329-nucleotide long non-coding RNA is filed under the name Helianthus annuus (common sunflower). Its description in RNAcentral is "sRNA HanXRQr2_Chr16g0724241". Lineage: Eukaryota; Viridiplantae; Streptophyta; Magnoliopsida; Asterales; Asteraceae. The record is from RNAcentral.